Molecule: ribosomal RNA, 305 nt
Filed under: uncultured bacterium
Lineage: Bacteria
Description: bacterial SSU rRNA
Rfam family: Bacterial small subunit ribosomal RNA
Source: RNAcentral
UACCUACGGGGCGCAGCAGUGAGGAAUAUUGGUCAAUGGCCGAGAGGCUGAACCAGCAAUGCCGCGUGAACGAGGAAGGUCUUCGGAUCGUAAAGUUCUGUUGAAGGGGAAAAAGAGCGGAGAGAGGAAAUGGUCUCCGAUUGAUAUUACCCUUCGAGGAAGUCACGGCUAACUACGUGCCAGCAGCCGCGGUAAUACGUAGGUGGCGAGCGUUAUCCGGAAUGACUGGGCGUAAAGGGUGCGUAGGCGGCCUGCUAAGUCUGGAGUGAAAGGUACCGGCUCAACCGGUACAGGCUCUGGAAACU